RNAcentral lists this ribosomal RNA (368 nucleotides) under Hemidactylus citernii. Its description in RNAcentral is "partial 12S ribosomal RNA". It matches the Rfam family "Bacterial small subunit ribosomal RNA", at positions 801 to 1371 of the family's 1533-position model. Lineage: Eukaryota; Metazoa; Chordata; Lepidosauria; Squamata; Gekkonidae. The record is from RNAcentral.
GUAAACCCAGGUAGUAACACACCCUAACUGCCCGCCAGAGCACUACAAGUAAAAAACUUAAAACUCAAAGGACUUGACGGCAUUCCACAUCGCCCUAGAGGAGCCUGUCCUAUAAUCGAUGACCCACGUUAAACCUAACCUGCCCUUGCAUCAACCAGCCUAUAUACCGCCGUCCCCAGCGUGCCCUUCAAGGGGUUAACAGCAAGCCAACUAGCUCAGCGCUCAUACGUCAGGUCAAGGUGUAGCUAACGCGCAGGAAGAGAUGGGCUACAUUUUCUACCACAGAAAACAACCUACUGUGCCAUGAAACGUGCACCAAAAGGAGGAUUUAGCAGUAAGCCGAACAAGACAUGUUCGCCUGAACACCG